ACAGAUAGGGUAACAGUACCUUAUCAGUGGUGUCUGCAAUAUAUCCGUAAAAGGUGGAUCAAGAAAGAGAGGAUUACACCGAUAAGAAGAAGUUGGCAGACCUUCAUAUAUGCUAUUUGCUUUUACGACGUUCAGCACGCAGGUUUGCCAACGCAUUUGUCAUUCGCGCGGCGAUAUUCGAGCCGGCAGGGAAUAACGAAAGUCGUUCCACGCCAUCCCUUCUAGAAAGGUAAUUCUUUACGAAUAAUUAGCCAUUAUUAAUUAUCAGAUUAUUUUCAAUUAUUCAAUUUAUUAAAUUGGGUUAAGGAUUCAUCGUAUUUCAAAGUAUCAAGACUGCAAGUCUCGAAAUUAUUUCGUCGUACGAUUACUCGAAGUGCGAUUUUGGCGGGAAACGGCAUCGCUUCGCGAUCGCGAAAUUUGGGAGUGUCGUACAAAGUGUCGCGCGUUUAAAUGCGGGAGUGCCGUUUAAAGUAUCGUGCGUGUCAAUCAACGGACCCUGAUGACCCUGACGACCUGAGAGGAUGAGAAGGCCUAGGCAUCCGGCCAGAGCAAUCCUGGGGUAAAUACUUAUUAUUUUGUACAUUAGUUGUUGUAUACAUUGCGUAAGAGUAUUAAUUUAAUUUAUUUAUUUGAAUUUAAACAAAAAAGAAACUUUUAUAUAUAAAUACUAUAAAAAUUUCUAUUUCAAAAAUAAUUUUUUUUUAAUUUAUAAAAUUAUUCUAUCCGGUUAUUAUUAUACGCAUCAGAUAUAAAAUUCGGCGGAUACCAUAAUAAUUUUUUGAAAUAUUAAUUAUUUUGAACGCUGCUAUAAUUUGAAUUUUAUAUUUAUAUGUUACAGAUCAACGCAGCUUUAAUAACAAUACGCUGUUGCGUACCAGUAUCAGUGAGUGAAAUUUUUAUUUAAUUUUAAGGCAACAGAUUUAUAGAGAUUGUAGAUGUAGACAGAUCCGUUGUCUUAAAAUGAUAUAAUUACCGAUCUAUAAUAUAGUUCAACAAAAAAAAAAAAAA
Long non-coding RNA from Formica exsecta, 1008 nucleotides. RefSeq lists it as uncharacterized. The transcript has 2 exons. Lineage: Eukaryota; Metazoa; Arthropoda; Insecta; Hymenoptera; Formicidae. The record is from RefSeq and is a predicted model, not a curated record.